Molecule: ribosomal RNA, 866 nt
Filed under: Viridibacillus sp. AH8
Lineage: Bacteria; Bacillati; Bacillota; Bacilli; Caryophanales; Caryophanaceae
Description: bacterial SSU rRNA
Rfam family: Bacterial small subunit ribosomal RNA
Source: RNAcentral
UACAUGCAAGUCGAGCGAAUGAUGAAGAAGCUUGCUUCUUCUGAUUUAGCGGCGGACGGGUGAGUAACACGUGGGCAACCUACCUAGUAGAUUGGGAUAACUCCGGGAAACCGGGGCUAAUACCGAAUAAUCCAUUUCACCUCAUGGUGAAAUGCUGAAAGGCGGUUUCGGCUGUCACUACUAGAUGGGCCCGCGGUGCAUUAGCUAGUUGGUGGGGUAAUGGCCUACCAAGGCAACGAUGCAUAGCCGACCUGAGAGGGUGAUCGGCCACAUUGGGACUGAGACACGGCCCAAACUCCUACGGGAGGCAGCAGUAGGGAAUCUUCCACAAUGGACGAAAGUCUGAUGGAGCAACGCCGCGUGAGUGAUGAAGGUUUUCGGAUCGUAAAACUCUGUUGUAAGGGAAGAACAAGUACGUUAGUAACUGAACGUACCUUGACGGUACCUUAUUAGAAAGCCACGGCUAACUACGUGCCAGCAGCCGCGGUAAUACGUAGGUGGCAAGCGUUGUCCGGAUUUAUUGGGCGUAAAGCGCGCGCAGGUGGUUUCUUAAGUCUGAUGUGAAAGCCCACGGCUCAACCGUGGAGGGUCAUUGGAAACUGGGAGACUUGAGUGCAGAAGAGGAAAGUGGAAUUCCAAGUGUAGCGGUGAAAUGCGUAGAGAUUUGGAGGAACACCAGUGGCGAAGGCGACUUUCUGGUCUGUAACUGACACUGAGGCGCGAAAGCGUGGGGAGCAAACAGGAUUAGAUACCCUGGUAGUCCACGCCGUAAACGAUGAGUGCUAAGUGUUAGGGGGUUUCCGCCCCUUAGUGCUGCAGCUAACGCAUUAAGCACUCCGCCUGGGGAGUACGGCCGCAAGUUGAAC